RNAcentral lists this ribosomal RNA (407 nucleotides) under uncultured Pandoraea sp. Its description in RNAcentral is "bacterial SSU rRNA". It matches the Rfam family "Bacterial small subunit ribosomal RNA", at positions 9 to 416 of the family's 1533-position model. The record is from RNAcentral. Lineage: Bacteria; Pseudomonadati; Pseudomonadota; Betaproteobacteria; Burkholderiales; Burkholderiaceae.
GAGUUUGAUCCUGGCUCAGAUUGAACGCUGGCGGCAUGCCUUACACAUGCAAGUCGAACGGCAGCACGGGUGCUUGCACCUGGUGUCGAGUGGCGGAACGGGUGAGUAAUACAUCGGAAUGUACCUUGUAGUGGGGGAUAGCUCGGCGAAAGCCGGAUUAAUACCGCAUACGCUCUGAGGAGGAAAGCGGGGGACCUUCGGGCCUCGUGCUACAAGAGCAGCCGAUGUCAGAUUAGCUUGUUGGUGAGGUAAAGCUCACCAAGGCGACGAUCUGUAGCUGGUCUGAGAGGACGACCAGCCACACUGGGACUGAGACACGGCCCAGACUCCUACGGGAGGCAGCAGUGGGGAAUUUUGGACAAUGGGCGAAAGCCUGAUCCAGCAAUGCCGCGUGUGUGAAGAAGGCC